AUUGAACGCUGGCGGCAUGCCUUACACAUGCAAGUCGAACGGCAGCACGGGAGCAAUCCUGGUGGCGAGUGGCGAACGGGUGAGUUAUACAUCGGAACGUGCCCAAUCGUGGGGGAUAACGUAGCGAAAGCUACGCUAAUACCGCAUACGAUCUACGGAUGAAAGCGGGGGAUCGCAAGACCUCGCGCGAAUGGAGCGGCCGAUGGCAGAUUAGGUAGUUGGUGAGGUAAAGGCUCACCAAGCCUGCGAUCUGUAGCUGGUCUGAGAGGACGACCAGACAAACUGGGACUGAGACACGGGCCAGACUCCUACGGGAGGCAGCAGUGGGGAAUUUUGGACAAUGGGGGAAAGCCUGAUCCAGCAAUGCCGCGUGCAGGAUGAAGGCCUUCGGGGUGUAAACUGCUUUUGUACGGAACGAAACGGUCCUUUCUAAUACAAGGGGCUAAUGACGGUACCGUAAGAAUAAGCACCGGCUAACUACGUGCCAGCAGCCGCUGUAA
Molecule: ribosomal RNA, 500 nt
Filed under: uncultured bacterium
Lineage: Bacteria
Description: partial 16S ribosomal RNA
Rfam family: Bacterial small subunit ribosomal RNA
Source: RNAcentral